AGUGAACGCUGGCGGUAGGCCUAACACAUGCAAGUCGAACGGCAGCACAGUAAGAGCUUGCUCUUACGGGUGGCGAGUGGCGGACGGGUGAGGAAUACAUCGGAAUCUACUUUUUCGUGGGGGAUAACGUAGGGAAACUUACGCUAAUACCGCAUACGACCUACGGGUGAAAGCAGGGGAUCUUCGGACCUUGCGCGAUUGAAAGAGCCGAUGUCGGAUUAGCUAGUUGGCGGGGUAAAGGCCCACCAAGGCGACGAUCCGUAGCUGGUCUGAGAGGAUGAUCCGCCACACUGGAACUGAGACACGGUCCAGACUCCUACGGGAGGCAGCAGUGGGGAAUAUUGGACAAUGGGCGCAAGCCUGAUCCAGCCAUACCGCGUGGGUGAAGAAGGCCUUCGGGUUGUAAAGCCCUUUUGUUGGGAAAGAAAAGCAGCAGGUUAAUCCCCCGCUGUUCUGACGGUACCCAAAGAAUAAGCACCGGCUAACUUCGUG
RNAcentral lists this ribosomal RNA (492 nucleotides) under uncultured bacterium. RNAcentral's name for it is "partial 16S ribosomal RNA". It matches the Rfam family "Bacterial small subunit ribosomal RNA", at positions 29 to 507 of the family's 1533-position model. The record is from RNAcentral.